This is a long non-coding RNA of Medicago truncatula (barrel medic), 582 nucleotides long. RefSeq lists it as uncharacterized. The transcript has 3 exons. Lineage: Eukaryota; Viridiplantae; Streptophyta; Magnoliopsida; Fabales; Fabaceae. The record is from RefSeq and is a predicted model, not a curated record.
UAAUCCUCUCUGUUUUUUCACACUUAGGAUGUGGGACUUGUGAACAAGAGUUAUGGUAUACACGCCUCUUCCUUCUGUUUCUCCCUCGGCUAGUACACAAGUGCAAAGCGUCCUUUGAAUGAUCUUAGAUGAUAUGCAGGAUGGUCAAGCAGUUCAAUUAACGGGAGUUCAAUCAAGCAAAGAAGACAAUUAUGCAUAUAUAUCCACUUUGCUUGAUUUAAUAAUUUUAUUGAGGUAGCUCCACAAGGUGAGGCAUGCACAAUGAAGUUUGAAGCUAAGAUAGUACCCAUUUUUCCUGUUGGCAUGGAGACUGUUUUGAAGCCACGAGUGUUUCUAGCAAUGAAGAUAAAAAAUAUGAAUUCUACGUUGAAAACACCCUCAUUACUUAAAGCAUUAGGGUUGGCAGAGGAGAGGUUUUUAAAUUUGUUUGUCAAAUACUAUGACAGAGAAAUUGCUGAUGAGUCGAUGAAAUUUUAUAAAAGAGAUUAGCAUCUUCAUCAAAGAAUUGUAUUACUAGACUAGAGGAUUCCAUUUGUAAACUACUUUUAUAUGUUUUGAAAGUUUAGAACUAAAGUUCAUUUC